Molecule: ribosomal RNA, 497 nt
Filed under: uncultured bacterium
Lineage: Bacteria
Description: partial 16S ribosomal RNA
Rfam family: Bacterial small subunit ribosomal RNA
Source: RNAcentral
GAUGAACGCUGGCGGCGUGCCUAAUACAUGCAAGUCGAGCGAACGGACGAGAAGCUUGCUUCUCUGAUGUUAGCGGCGGACGGGUGAGUAACACGUGGAUAACCUACCUAUAAGACUGGGAUAACUUCGGGAAACCGGAGCUAAUACCGGAUAAUAUUUUGAACCGCAUGGUUCAAAAGUAAAAGACGGUCUUGCUGUCACUUAUAGAUGGAUCCGCGCUGCAUUAGCUAGUUGGUAAGGUAACGGCUUACCAAGGCAACGAUGCAUAGCCGACCUGAGAGGGUGAUCGGCCACACUGGAACUGAGACACGGUCCAGACUCCUACGGGAGGCAGCAGUAGGGAAUCUUCCGCAACGGGCGAAAGCCUGACGGAGCAACGCCGCGUGAGUGAUGAAGGUCUUCGGAUCGUAAAACUCUGUUAUUAGGGAAGAACAUAUGUGUAAGUAACUGUGCACAUCUUGACGGUACCUAAUCAGAAAGCCACGGCUAACUACGUG